Armigeres subalbatus is the source of this 299-nucleotide long non-coding RNA. RefSeq lists it as uncharacterized. The record is from RefSeq and is a predicted model, not a curated record. The transcript is spliced from 3 exons. Lineage: Eukaryota; Metazoa; Arthropoda; Insecta; Diptera; Culicidae.
UAUUCGUGCAAGUAAACUUUGCAUCGCUUUAUUCUGGAAAACAAAAAAAAAUCCUGCUGAGGAAGAGCUGACUUAUUGACUGAGCUAAAAUGCGAGUUUAAAGGUAAAGAUGCUGAAAUUUACCGCGCACCGGAGACACACCGGAGUUUUCUUCAUGAGCAAAAAUGAUCCUAUCCAUAAUGCUGUCAUUCCUGAAUAAAAAUCAUAUGAGCUGCAAAUCUUCAGUUGCUUCCAUCGCUUUGCCAGGAGAUAUUAUAUUCGUAUAUGAACGGAUGAGUCCGCCGGAGUCCGCAUGAAUA